GAAGGGGGCGAGCGUUGUUCGGAAUUACUGGGCGUAAAGGGCGCGUAGGCGGCUCUUUAAGUUAGGCGUGAAAGCCCCGGGCUCAACCUGGGAACUGCGCUUAAGACUGAAGAGCUAGAAAACGGAAGAGGGUAGUGGAAUUCCCAGUGUAGAGGUGAAAUUCGUAGAUAUUGGGAANAACACCAGUGGCGAAAGCGGCUACCUGGUCCGGAUUUGACGCUGAGGCGCGAAAGCGUGGGGAGCAAACAGGAUUAGAUACCCUGGUAGUCCACGCCGUAAACGAUGUCUGCUAGAUGUCGGGGGGUUGCCCCUCGGUGUCGCCGCUAACGCAUUAAGCAGACCGCCUGGGAAGUUACGGUCGCAAGAUUAAAACUCGAAGGAAUUGACGGGGGCCCCGCACAACGGUGGAACAUGUUGGUUUAAUUCCAAACAACGCGCCAAAACCUUACCAGUCCUUGACAUGGGGANUUUGGUUUCCCAAAAAUGGAUUCCUUCAGUUCNGCUGGCUCCCNCACAGGUGCUNC
RNAcentral lists this ribosomal RNA (524 nucleotides) under uncultured Alphaproteobacteria bacterium. Its description in RNAcentral is "bacterial SSU rRNA". It matches the Rfam family "Bacterial small subunit ribosomal RNA", at positions 527 to 1044 of the family's 1533-position model. The record is from RNAcentral. Lineage: Bacteria; Pseudomonadati; Pseudomonadota; Alphaproteobacteria.